Molecule: ribosomal RNA, 497 nt
Filed under: uncultured bacterium
Lineage: Bacteria
Description: partial 16S ribosomal RNA
Rfam family: Bacterial small subunit ribosomal RNA
Source: RNAcentral
GAUGAACGCUGGCGGCGUGCCUAAUACAUGCAAGUCGAGCGAACAGACGAGGCUUUUGCUCUUCUGACGUUAGCGACGGAUGGGUGAGUCAUACGUGGUUUACCUAUUUAUUUGACUUGGAUAUGUUCGGGUAACUCUAGUUAUUACCGGAUAAUAUAUUUAACUGCAUGGUUCAAUAGUUUAAGAUGGUUUUGCUGUCACCUAUCGAUGUAUCCGCGUCGCAUUAGGUAGUUGGUCAGGUAACGGCUUACCAAGGAUACGAUCCGUAGCAGGCGUGGGAGGGUAGUCGGCCAGACUGGAACUGAGGCAAGGUCCGGACUCAGACAGGGGGCAGACGUAGGGGAUAUUCAGCAAUGGGCAAAAGCGUGAAGGGGCAACGAGGCGUGAGUGAUGAAGGUCUUCGGAUCGUAAAGCUCUGUUGGUAGGGAAGACCAAACGGGUAAGAAGAAAUGCACGUCUUGACGGUACCUAAAGAGAAAGCCACGGCUAACUACGUG